Long non-coding RNA from Strongylocentrotus purpuratus (purple sea urchin), 258 nucleotides. RefSeq lists it as uncharacterized. The transcript has 2 exons. NCBI's taxonomy places the organism in Eukaryota, Metazoa, Echinodermata, Echinoidea, Camarodonta, Strongylocentrotidae. The record is from RefSeq and is a predicted model, not a curated record.
AGCUUGUUCCAACGCCCCUGGUUGCUGGUGUACUAGGAGAAAGAACAAGGUCGUCUUCUGUGGUGGUGCUGGUAAGGGCGGCAUCUAAACAACGAACUGGACACCUUUGUCUUGGCAAAGGAUAUCCCAUUGACUCCAACUGAUAAAUCGGGCAUAUAUUAUAUGUCAUGACGUCAUGUUUAUUAUAAUGAUUUGAUGGAUCUGACAGGCCUGUUUACAUCAUAUCUAAUAAAGUCUAUGCAAAGUAGAAAGAAAAAA